Molecule: ribosomal RNA, 1514 nt
Filed under: uncultured bacterium
Lineage: Bacteria
Description: bacterial SSU rRNA
Rfam family: Bacterial small subunit ribosomal RNA
Source: RNAcentral
CACGGAUCCAGAGUUUGAUCAUGGCUCAGAACGAACGUUGGCGGCGCGUCUUAAGCAUGCAAGUCGAGCGGGAUUGGGUAGCUUGCUACUCAUGAGAGCGGCGGACUGGUGAGUAACGCGUGGGUGACGUACCCUUUAGACGGGGAUAGCUCCUAGAAAUAGGAGGUAAUACCGGAUACGAUGCUGAGUGUCAGAGGCUCAGCAUGAAAGGUUCUUUUGAACCGCUGAAGGAGCGGCCCGCGUACUAUUAGCUUGUUGGUGAGGUAACGGCCCACCAAGGCGACGAUAGUUAUCCGGCCUGAGAGGGUGAACGGACACAUUGGGACUGAGAUACGGCCCAGACUCCUACGGGAGGCAGCAGCUAAGAAUAUUCCGCAAUGGACGAAAGUCUGACGGAGCGACGCCGCGUGGAUGAUGAAGGCCGGAAGGUUGUAAAAUCCUUUUAGAUAUGAGAAAUAAGCAGGGUGAGAGAAACGCCCUGUGGUGACUGUAGUAUCAGAAUAAGGGGCGGCUAAUUACGUGCCAGCAGCCGCGGUAACACGUAAGCCCCGAGCGUUGUUCGGAAUUAUUGGGCGUAAAGGGCAUGUAGGCGGCUUUGCAAGUCUGGUGUGAAAGGCAGGAGCUUAACUCCUGGACUGCGCUGGAAACUGCAUGGCUUGAGUCACUGAGGGGCAUCCGGAAUUCCUGGUGUAGGGGUGAAAUCUGUAGAUAUCAGGAAGAACACCGAUGGCGAAGGCAGGGUGCCAGCGGAUGACUGACGCUGAGGUGCGAAGGUGCGGGGAGCAAACAGGAUUAGAUACCCUGGUAGUCCGCGCUGUAAACGAUGAAUGCUAGGUAUUGGGGGAAUAUCCCUCGGUGCCGCAGUUAACGCAAUAAGCAUUCCACCUGGGGAGUACGAUCGCAAGAUUGAAACUCAAAGGAAUUGACGGGGCCCCGCACAAGCGGUGGAGCAUGUGGUUUAAUUCGAUGCAACGCGAAGAACCUUACCAAGUCUUGACAUACCAUUGAAUAGUAUAGAGAUAUGCUAGUCUUCGGACAAUGGAUACAGGUGGUGCAUGGUUGUCGUCAGCUCGUGUCGUGAGAUGUUGGGUUAAGUCCCGCAACGAGCGCAACCCUUAUUUUCAGUUACUAACGCGUAGAGGCGAGGACUCUGAAGAGACUGCCGGGGACAACUCGGAGGAAGGUGGGGACGACGUCAAAUCAUCAUGCCCCUUAUGACCUGGGCUACACACGUGCUACAAUGGCCACCACAGAGAGGUGCGAACCCGUAAGGGGGAGCGGAUCUCAAAAAAGUGGUCCCAGUUCGGAUUGUGGGCUGCAACCCGCCCACAUGAAGUCGGAGUUGCUAGUAAUCGCGGAUCAGCAUGCCGCGGUGAAUACGUUCCCGGGCCUUGUACACACCGCCCGUCAAGCCAUGGAAGAUGGUGGUACCUGAAGUCUGUACCCGCAAGGAGCGGCCUAAGGUAAAACUGUUAACUGGGGCUAAGUCGUAACAAGGUAGCCGUAAGCUUCAC